Molecule: ribosomal RNA, 499 nt
Filed under: uncultured bacterium
Lineage: Bacteria
Description: partial 16S ribosomal RNA
Rfam family: Bacterial small subunit ribosomal RNA
Source: RNAcentral
GACGAACGCUGGCGGCGUGCCUAAUACAUGCAAGUCGAGCGAAGUGUUUCUGGUGCUUGCGCUAGCAAGACUUAGCGGCGAACGGGUGAGUAACACGUAAAGAACCUGCCUCAUAGACUUGGACAACUAUUGGAAACGAUAACUAAUACCGGAUAACAGUAUUUCUCGCAUGAGAUAUGUUUAAAAGUUGGUUAUGCUAACACUAUGAGAUGGCUUUGCGGUGCAGUAGCGAGUUGGUGGGGUAAAGGCCCACCAAGGCGACGAUGCAUAGCCGAGCUGAGAGGGUGAUCGGCCACACUGGAACGGAGACAGGGCCAAUACUCCUGAGGGAGGCAGCAGUAGGGAAUCUUCGGCAAUGGGCGAAAGCCUGACGGAGCAACGCCGAGUGAGUGAAGAAGGAUUUCGGUUCGUAAAGCUCUGUUGUUAGUGAAGAAUGGAUAUGUACUAACUAUACAUGUAAGAGACGGUACCUAAUCAGAAAGCCACGGCUAACUACGUG